This 272-nucleotide ribosomal RNA is filed under the name uncultured prokaryote. RNAcentral describes it as "partial 16S ribosomal RNA". It matches the Rfam family "Bacterial small subunit ribosomal RNA", at positions 524 to 794 of the family's 1533-position model. The record is from RNAcentral.
UACGGAGGAUCCGAGCGUUAUCCGGAUUUAUUGGGUUUAAAGGGUGCGCAGGCGGGAGAUUAAGUCGGCGGUGAAAUUUUGCAGCUAAAACUGUAAAAGUGCCUUCGAAACUGGUUUCCUUGAGUGUAGAUGAAGUAGGCGGAAUUUGUGGUGUAGCGGUGAAAUGCAUAGAUAUCACGAGGAACUCCGAUUGCGCAGGCAGCUUACUAAACUACUACUGACGCUCAGGCACGAAGGCGUGGGGAUCAAACAGGAUUAGAUACCCUGGUAGU